GAUGAACGCUGGCGGCGUGCUUAACACAUGCAAGUCGAACGGUGAAGCAGGAGCUUGCUCUUGUGGAUCAGUGGCGAACGGGUGAGUAACACGUGAGCAACCUGCCCCUGACUCUGGGAUAAGCGCUGGAAACGGCGUCUAAUACUGGAUAUGUGAUGUGACCGCAUGGUCUGCAUCUGGAAAGAAUUUCGGUUGGGGCUGGGCUGGCGGCCUAUCAUCUUGUUGGUGAGGUAAUGGGUAACCAAGGCGUCGACGGGUAGCCGGCCUGAGAGGGUGACCGGCCAAACUGGGACUGAGACACGGCCCAGACUCCUACGGGAGGCAGCAGUGGGGAAUAUUGCACAAUGGGCGGAAGCCUGAUGCAGCAACGCCGCGUGAGGGAUGACGGCCUUCGGGUUGUAAACCUCUUUUAGCAGGGAAGAAGCGAAAGUGACGGUACCUGCAGAAAAAGCACCGGCUAACUACGUGCCAGCCGCCGCCGUAA
Molecule: ribosomal RNA, 484 nt
Filed under: uncultured bacterium
Lineage: Bacteria
Description: partial 16S ribosomal RNA
Rfam family: Bacterial small subunit ribosomal RNA
Source: RNAcentral